CUGGCCCUGAAUUAAGGCUGGCAGCUUCCUGAUGCUGUUGGUUUCAAGCAGGAGUCUAAAGAGAUGUCUUUCUAUGGUCUGCUUUCUAUGGCCAUUUCAGAACCUGGGCAGUGAAAUGGUCAAUUCAUUAGAAAGAAACAGCU
This is a small nucleolar RNA of Cavia aperea (Brazilian guinea pig), 143 nucleotides long. The record is from Ensembl. Lineage: Eukaryota; Metazoa; Chordata; Mammalia; Rodentia; Caviidae.